Molecule: ribosomal RNA, 406 nt
Filed under: uncultured bacterium
Lineage: Bacteria
Description: partial 16S ribosomal RNA
Rfam family: Bacterial small subunit ribosomal RNA
Source: RNAcentral
AUUGAACGCUGGCGGCAAGCCUAACACAUGCAAGUCGAACGAGUGGCGGACGGGUGAAUAAUGUCUGGGAAACUGCCUGAUGGAGGGGGAUAACUACUGGAAACGGUAGCUAAUACCGCAAACCAGCGGCUGUGCCCAGAUGGGAUUAGCGAGUAGGUGGGGUAAAGGCUCACCUAGGCGACGCGCCCUAGCUGGUCUGAGAGGAUGACCAGCCAAACUGGAACUGAGACACGGUCCAGACUCCUAAGGGAGGCAGCAGUGGGGAAUAUUGCACAAUGGGCGCAAGCCUGAUGCAGCCAUGCCGCGUGUAUGAAGAAGGCCUUCGGGUUGUAAAGUACUUUCAGCGGGGAGGCGUUACCCGCAGAAGAAGCACCGGCUAACUCCGUGCCAGCCGCCGCGGUAAUUC